Molecule: long non-coding RNA, 412 nt
Filed under: Nicotiana tabacum (common tobacco)
Lineage: Eukaryota; Viridiplantae; Streptophyta; Magnoliopsida; Solanales; Solanaceae
Description: long non-coding RNA (NTAB_LNC000707)
Source: RNAcentral
UAUCAACAAUGAUGGUGCUGACUAUCCAGAAGUUGAAGAUAAACCUGAAGAACUAGCAGUUGAAGAAAAACAUGAAGAACAAGCAAUUGAAGAGAAGCCUGAAGAACCAGCAAUUAAGGAAAAAGCUGAUGAACCAGCAGUGCAAGAAAAACUUGAAGAACCAGCUGUGGAAAAGAAACCUGAAGAACCAGUGGCUACGGAGAAACCUGAAGAACCAGCAAUUAAGGAAAAAGCUGAUGAACCAGCAGCGCAGGAGAAACCUGAAGAACCAGCUGUGGGAAAGAAACCUGAAGAACCAGUGGCUACGGAGAAACCUAAAGAACCAGCAAUUAAGGAAAAAGCUGAUGAACCAGCAGUGCAAGAGAAACCUGAAGAACCAGCUGUGGAAAAGAUACCUGAAGAACCAGCAGUC